GCAGUCGAGCGGUAGCACAGGAGAGCUUGCUCUCUGGGUGACGAGCGGCGGACGGGUGAGUAAUGUCUGGGAAACUGCCUGAUGGAGGGGGAUAACUACUGGAAACGGUAGCUAAUACCGCAUGACCUCGCAAGAGCAAAGUGGGGGACCUUCGGGCCUCACGCCAUCGGAUGUGCCCAGAUGGGAUUAGCUAGUAGGUGGGGUAAUGGCUCACCUAGGCGACGAUCCCUAGCUGGUCUGAGAGGAUGACCAGCCACACUGGAACUGAGACACGGUCCAGACUCCUACGGGAGGCAGCAGUGGGGAAUAUUGCACAAUGGGCGCAAGCCUGAUGCAGCCAUGCCGCGUGUGUGAAGAAGGCCUUAGGGUUGUAAAGCACUUUCAGCGAGGAGGAAGGGUUCAGUGUUAAUAGCACUGAGCAUUGACGUUACUCGCAGAAGAAGCACCGGCUAACUCCGUGCCAGCAGCCGCGGUAAUACGGAGGGUGCAAGCGUUAAUCGGAAUUACUGGGCGU
RNAcentral lists this ribosomal RNA (514 nucleotides) under Rahnella sp. RNAcentral's name for it is "bacterial SSU rRNA". It matches the Rfam family "Bacterial small subunit ribosomal RNA", at positions 57 to 561 of the family's 1533-position model. The record is from RNAcentral. Lineage: Bacteria; Pseudomonadati; Pseudomonadota; Gammaproteobacteria; Enterobacterales; Yersiniaceae.